Molecule: ribosomal RNA, 1983 nt
Filed under: Triticum aestivum (bread wheat)
Lineage: Eukaryota; Viridiplantae; Streptophyta; Magnoliopsida; Poales; Poaceae
Description: partial small subunit ribosomal RNA
Source: RNAcentral
AUGGCGACUCUUUCUCUCCCUCUGGUACACCCGCAGGUCUCCCUCUGGCGACAAGGGCCGCGGCGACUGCAUGGCUCGCCAAGCUGCCAGUUCAGACACGCCGGGAGGGUGCAAUCCAGUUACAGAGGGCUUGAAGCUCUGUAUGAUGAUGGGUACGGGACAGUCAAGGACCUGGACUACUUCUAUCAGGCACUCGGGCAGCUGGUUGAGCAUGACAGUGGGCCGCCCUGCUGGUUAUGCCCCGUCGACGCCGGCUCGACAGUCGAGGAUGCUCCGCUCAUGCUGUAUUUGCCAGGGGUGGAUGGAAUGGGGAUGGGGCUCUGCAUGCACCACAAGGCUCUUGGAAGGAUAUUUGAACUUAGAUGCUUGCACAUUCCUUUUCACGACCGCACGCCAUUCGAAGAACUUGUCACAAUGGUAGAAGAUGUUGUGAGGGCAGAGCACUCCACUUCUCCUAAUAAGCCCAUGUAUCUAUUGGGGAAUUCGUUUGGAGGAUGCUUAGCUCUUGCAGUUGCUGCUCGCAAUCCUCGUAUUGAUUUGAUACUGGUACUAGUUAAUCCAGCUACAUCGUUUGAGAGGUCAGAAAUAAAAAAGCUUCUGUCGGUUUUCAGCCCAUUAUCAAACAACGCCUGUAUUGCAAUUACAGCUCUACUGAACUACAACAUCGACAACGAGGUGAACAUGGCACUGAGUAGAAUGCAAAGUGGGAAGCAUCCUUUAGAAGCACUCAUCAGAUUGACAAAUAACAUGUCGUCUUCCCUGAAGCAUACGAACGUACUGGACAAACUACCAGAAGACACACUACAAUGGAAGAUGAAACUGAUGAAACGGGCUGCGCAAUACGCUAAUUGCCGUUUACAAUCAGUUACAGCUGAGGUGCUACUGCUAGCCAGCUGCGAUGACAACUUACUCCCGAGCAAAUCUGAAGCCUACAGGCUACAGAACAAAAUACCUAAAUCCAAAAUCUUCUUCUUUGAGAAGCAUGGGCACAGCUUACUGCUGGAGCAUGGUGUCCAUGUCUCAUCCAUCAUCAAGUGUGCUGGUCUCUACCGCCAUUCGAGGCGCUAUCAUCGAGUUUUCGACUACAUCCCGCCAUCCACAACCGAGUUAAAGGAAGUCGACAAAGCUAGCAUCGACCUAUUGUUCAGAACGUGCCCAGCGAUGUUCUCGACGCUGGAGGACGGCACGGUGGUGCGGGGACUCGCCGGGGUGCCCGAGGAUGGGCCGGUGCUGCUGGUAGGCAACCACAUGCUGCUGGGGAUCGAGCUCAUCUCUCUUGCCGCGGAGUUCAUGCGGCAUAAGAAGGUCGUGGUCCGUGGCAUCGCGCACCCGCUGCUGUUCCCGAAGAAGACGAAGACGUGGUCGGAGGGACACGACUUCUUCGACUUCCUCAACCUGUGGGGAGGCGUGCCCAUGACCUACAAGUACAUAUACGAGUUGCUAGCAGCCGGGGAGUUCGUGCUCCUCUAUCCGGGUGGCUACAGGGAGGCACUCCACUGCAAGGGUGAAGAGCACAGGAUUUUCUGGCCAGAACAGACUGAAUUUGUUAGGAUGGCAGCGCAGUGCAAUGCCACAAUCGUGCCAUUUGGAGUCGUCGGAGAGGAUGACAUCGUGAAUCUGCUUUGCACAUUCGACGGUAUCAGGAGCGCGCCCUUCGGCAAGGAGAUAAUGCGGGCCUACAGUAAGCAUCUGAAUCUCAGGGAUGCCAAGCACGAGGUGAUCUUCCCGGGCGUGUGCAUGAAGAUCCCGGGCCGGUUCUACUACCGGUUCGGGAAGCCGAUUCCGAUGAGGUGGAGGCAGGACGUCCUCACCGACCGUCGAGCCGCGACGGUUCUCUAUGCGCACAUAAAGUCGGAGGUGAAAGGCAUCAUCUCAUACCUGCUGGAGAAGCGGGAGGAGGACGAGUACAGAAAGAUCUCGCGGAGGCUCAUGUUCAUGGCUUCCCAGGGGUUCAACACCCAAGUUCCAUCGUUCGAUCCUUGA